GGUUAAGCGACUAAGCGUACACGGUGGAUGCCCUGGCAGUCAGAGGCGAUGAAGGACGUGCUAAUCUGCGAUAAGCGUCGGUAAGGUGAUAUGAACCGUUAUAACCGGCGAUUUCCGAAUGGGGAAACCCAGUGUGAUUCGUCACACUAUCAUUAACUGAAUCCAUAGGUUAAUGAGGCGAACCGGGGAACUGAAACAUCUAAGUACCCCGAGGAAAAGAAAUCAACCGAGAUUCCCCCAGUAGCGGCGAGCGAACGGGGAAGAGCCCAGAGCCUGAAUCAGUGUGUGUGUUAGUGGAAGCGUCUGGAAAGGCGCGCGAUACAGGGUGACAGCCCCGUACACAAAAAUGCACAUGUUGUGAGCUCGAUGAGUAGGGCGGGACACGUGGUAUCCUGUCUGAAUAUGGGGGACCAUCCUCCAAGGCUAAAUACUCCUGACUGACCGAUAGUGAACCAGUACCGUGAGGGAAAGGCGAAAAGAACCCCGGCGAGGGGAGUGAAAAAGAACCUGAAACCGUGUACGUACAAGCAGUGGGAGCCUCUUUUAUGGGGUGACUGCGUACCUUUUGUAUAAUGGGUCAGCGACUUAUAUUCUGUAGCAAGGUUAACCGAAUAGGGGAGCCGAAGGGAAACCGAGUCUUAACUGGGCGUUAAGUUGCAGGGUAUAGACCCGAAACCCGGUGAUCUAGCCAUGGGCAGGUUGAAGGUUGGGUAACACUAACUGGAGGACCGAACCGACUAAUGUUGAAAAAUUAGCGGAUGACUUGUGGCUGGGGGUGAAAGGCCAAUCAAACCGGGAGAUAGCUGGUUCUCCCCGAAAGCUAUUUAGGUAGCGCCUCGUGAACUCAUCUCCGGGGUAGAGCACUGUUUCGGCAAGGGGGUCAUCCCGACUUACCAACCCGAUGCAAACUGCGAAUACCGGAGAAUGUUAUCACGGGAGACACACGGCGGGUGCUAACGUCCGUCGUGAAGAGGGAAACAACCCAGACCGCCAGCUAAGGUCCCAAAGUCAUGGUUAAGUGGGAAACGAUGUGGGAAGGCCCAGACAGCCAGGAUGUUGGCUUAGAAGCAGCCAUCAUUUAAAGAAAGCGUAAUAGCUCACUGGUCGAGUCGGCCUGCGCGGAAGAUGUAACGGGGCUAAACCAUGCACCGAAGCUGCGGCAGCGACGCUUAUGCGUUGUUGGGUAGGGGAGCGUUCUGUAAGCCUGCGAAGGUGUACUGUGAGGUAUGCUGGAGGUAUCAGAAGUGCGAAUGCUGACAUAAGUAACGAUAAAGCGGGUGAAAAGCCCGCUCGCCGGAAGACCAAGGGUUCCUGUCCAACGUUAAUCGGGGCAGGGUGAGUCGACCCCUAAGGCGAGGCCGAAAGGCGUAGUCGAUGGGAAACAGGUUAAUAUUCCUGUACUUGGUGUUACUGCGAAGGGGGACGGAGAAGGCUAUGUUGGCCGGGCGACGGUUGUCCCGGUUUAAGCGUGUAGGCUGGUUUUCCAGGCAAAUCCGGAAAAUCAAGGCUGAGGCGUGAUGACGAGGCACUACGGUGCUGAAGCAACAAAUGCCCUGCUUCCAGGAAAAGCCUCUAAGCAUCAGGUAACAUCAAAUCGUACCCCAAACCGACACAGGUGGUCAGGUAGAGAAUACCAAGGCGCUUGAGAGAACUCGGGUGAAGGAACUAGGCAAAAUGGUGCCGUAACUUCGGGAGAAGGCACGCUGAUAUGUAGGUGAAGCGACUUGCUCGUGGAGCUGAAAUCAGUCGAAGAUACCAGCUGGCUGCAACUGUUUAUUAAAAACACAGCACUGUGCAAACACGAAAGUGGACGUAUACGGUGUGACGCCUGCCCGGUGCCGGAAGGUUAAUUGAUGGGGUUAGCGGUAACGCGAAGCUCUUGAUCGAAGCCCCGGUAAACGGCGGCCGUAACUAUAACGGUCCUAAGGUAGCGAAAUUCCUUGUCGGGUAAGUUCCGACCUGCACGAAUGGCGUAAUGAUGGCCAGGCUGUCUCCACCCGAGACUCAGUGAAAUUGAACUCGCUGUGAAGAUGCAGUGUACCCGCGGCAAGACGGAAAGACCCCGUGAACCUUUACUAUAGCUUGACACUGAACAUUGAGCCUUGAUGUGUAGGAUAGGUGGGAGGCUUUGAAGUGUGGACGCCAGUCUGCAUGGAGCCGACCUUGAAAUACCACCCUUUAAUGUUUGAUGUUCUAACGUUGGCCCCUGAUCGGGGUUGCGGACAGUGUCUGGUGGGUAGUUUGACUGGGGCGGUCUCCUCCUAAAGAGUAACGGAGGAGCACGAAGGUUGGCUAAUCCUGGUCGGACAUCAGGAGGUUAGUGCAAUGGCAUAAGCCAGCUUGACUGCGAGCGUGACGGCGCGAGCAGGUGCGAAAGCAGGUCAUAGUGAUCCGGUGGUUCUGAAUGGAAGGGCCAUCGCUCAACGGAUAAAAGGUACUCCGGGGAUAACAGGCUGAUACCGCCCAAGAGUUCAUAUCGACGGCGGUGUUUGGCACCUCGAUGUCGGCUCAUCACAUCCUGGGGCUGAAGUAGGUCCCAAGGGUAUGGCUGUUCGCCAUUUAAAGUGGUACGCGAGCUGGGUUUAGAACGUCGUGAGACAGUUCGGUCCCUAUCUGCCGUGGGCGCUGGAGAACUGAGGGGGCUGCUCCUAGUACGAGAGGACCGGAGUGGACGCAUCACUGGUGUUCGGGUUGUCAUGCCAAUGGCACUGCCCGGUAGCUAAAUGCGGAAGAGAUAAGUGCUGAAAGCAUCUAAGCACGAAACUUGCCCCGAGAUGAGUUCUCCCUGACCCUUUAAGGGUCCUGAAGGAACGUUGAAGACGACGACGUUGAUAGGCCGGGUGUGUAAGCGCAGCGAUGCGUUGAGCUAACCGGUACUAAUGAACCGUGAGGCUUAACCUU
This 2901-nucleotide ribosomal RNA is filed under the name Escherichia coli. RNAcentral's name for it is "23S ribosomal RNA". It matches the Rfam family "Bacterial large subunit ribosomal RNA". The record is from RNAcentral. Lineage: Bacteria; Pseudomonadati; Pseudomonadota; Gammaproteobacteria; Enterobacterales; Enterobacteriaceae.